UGGGGAAUUUUGGACAACGGGGGAAACCCUGAUCCAGCCAUCCCGCGUGUGCGAUGAAGGCCUUCGGGUUGUAAAGCACUUUUGGCAGGAAAGAAACGUCAUGGGUUAAUACCCCGUGAAACUGACGGUACCUGCAGAAUAAGCACCGGCUAACUACGUGCCAGCAGCCGCGGUAAUACGUAGGGUGCAAGCGUUAAUCGGAAUUACUGGGCGUAAAGCGUGCGCAGGCGGUUCGGAAAGAAAGAUGUGAAAUCCCAGAGCUCAACUUUGGAACUGCAUUUUUAACUACCGGGCUAGAGUGUGUCAGAGGGAGGUGGAAUUCCGCGUGUAGCAGUGAAAUGCGUAGAUAUGCGGAGGAACACCGAUGGCGAAGGCAGCCUCCUGGGAUAACACUGACGCUCAUGCAAGAAGGCGUGGGGAGCAAACAGG
RNAcentral lists this ribosomal RNA (429 nucleotides) under Acidobacteriota bacterium. Its description in RNAcentral is "Acidobacteria bacterium partial 16S ribosomal RNA". It matches the Rfam family "Bacterial small subunit ribosomal RNA", at positions 355 to 776 of the family's 1533-position model. Lineage: Bacteria; Pseudomonadati; Acidobacteriota. The record is from RNAcentral.